UUUCUCUAAAUCACUUGGUCAGGAUUUUUAAAAGGUUCAAACAUGAAUGCAGUAAAAUAUUUGGUAGUAUUUGCUCUAUCUGUCGCUGUUGUGUCAGCUGCUAAAUUAGAUAUAUUAUUAAAUUCAAAUGAAAACCACGAUGCCGCUCAGGAGAGAUCUUUAGAAGAAAGGUCAGAGUGUGCUAAAUUUGGUGAUGAUUGUGCGCUAAUGGCGUCAUGGUGCUGUGAUGGGUUAAAAUGUGAUUCGGCGUGGAGUAGUGGCACCUGCAUGUACCCGUUUUAAUAUACCAGGAUAAUCUCGAAAAACAGCAAAACAACUCAUAACAUCUUACCAGAUCUGUUCCAACAUCUUUCUGAAACAUCAUUCGUUUUAAUCUUCAUUAAAAAAUGUUGUUUAGCUGUU
Long non-coding RNA from Patella vulgata (common limpet), 402 nucleotides. RefSeq lists it as uncharacterized. Lineage: Eukaryota; Metazoa; Mollusca; Gastropoda; Patellidae. The transcript has 3 exons. The record is from RefSeq and is a predicted model, not a curated record.